UUAAGCGACUAAGCGUACACGGUGGAUGCCCUGGCAGUCAGAGGCGAUGAAGGACGUGCUAAUCUGCGAUAAGCGUCGGUAAGGUGAUAUGAACCGUUAUAACCGGCGAUUUCCGAAUGGGGAAACCCAGUGUGAUUCGACACACUAUCAUUAACUGAAUCCAUAGGUUAAUGAGGCGAACCGGGGGAACUGAAACAUCUAAGUACCCCGAGGAAAAGAAAUCAACCGAGAUUCCCCCAGUAGCGGCGAGCGAACGGGGAGCAGCCCAGAGCCUGAAUCAGUGUGUGUGUUAGUGGAAGCGUCUGGAAGGACGCGCGAUACAGGGUGGACAGCCCCGUACCACAAAAAUGCACAUGCUGUGAGCUCGAUGAGUAGGGCGGGACACGUGGUAUCCUGUCUGAAUAUGGGGGGACCAUCCUCCAAGGCUAAAUACUCCUGACUGACCGAUAGUGAACCAGUACCGUGAGGGAAAGGCGAAAAGAACCCCGGCGAGGGGAGUGAAAAAGAACCUGAAACCGUGUACGUACAAGCAGUGGGAGCACGCUUAGGCGUGUGACUGCGUACCUUUUGUAUAAUGGGUCAGCGACUUAUAUUCUGUAGCAAGGUUAACCGAAUAGGGGAGCCGAAGGGAAACCGAGUCUUAACUGGGCGUUAAGUUGCAGGGUAUAGACCCGAAACCCGGUGAUCUAGCCAUGGGCAGGUUGAAGGUUGGGUAACACUAACUGGAGGACCGAACCGACUAAUGUUGAAAAAUUAGCGGAUGACUUGUGGCUGGGGGUGAAAGGCCAAUCAAACCGGGAGAUAGCUGGUUCUCCCCGAAAGCUAUUUAGGUAGCGCCUCGUGAAUUCAUCUCCGGGGGUAGAGCACUGUUUCGGCAAGGGGGUCAUCCCGACUUACCAACCCGAUGCAAACUGCGAAUACCGGAGAAUGUUAUCACGGGAGACACACGGCGGGUGCUAACGUCCGUCGUGAAGAGGGAAACAACCCAGACCGCCAGCUAAGGUCCCAAAGUCAUGGUUAAGUGGGAAACGAUGUGGGAAGGCCCAGACAGCCAGGAUGUUGGCUUAGAAGCAGCCAUCAUUUAAAGAAAGCGUAAUAGCUCACUGGUCGAGUCGGCCUGCGCGGAAGAUGUAACGGGGCUAAACCAUGCACCGAAGCUGCGGCAGCGACGCUUAUGCGUUGUUGGGUAGGGGAGCGUUCUGUAAGCCUGUGAAGGUGUACUGUGAGGUAUGCUGGAGGUAUCAGAAGUGCGAAUGCUGACAUAAGUAACGAUAAAGCGGGUGAAAAGCCCGCUCGCCGGAAGACCAAGGGUUCCUGUCCAACGUUAAUCGGGGCAGGGUGAGUCGACCCCUAAGGCGAGGCCGAAAGGCGUAGUCGAUGGGAAACAGGUUAAUAUUCCUGUACUUGGUGUUACUGCGAAGGGGGGACGGAGAAGGCUAUGUUGGCCGGGCGACGGUUGUCCCGGUUUAAGCGUGUAGGCUGGUUUUCCAGGCAAAUCCGGAAAAUCAAGGCUGAGGCGUGAUGACGAGGCACUACGGUGCUGAAGCAACAAAUGCCCUGCUUCCAGGAAAAGCCUCUAAGCAUCAGGUAACAUCAAAUCGUACCCCAAACCGACACAGGUGGUCAGGUAGAGAAUACCAAGGCGCUUGAGAGAACUCGGGUGAAGGAACUAGGCAAAAUGGUGCCGUAACUUCGGGAGAAGGCACGCUGAUAUGUAGGUGAAGCGACUUGCUCGUGGAGCUGAAAUCAGUCGAAGAUACCAGCUGGCUGCAACUGUUUAUUAAAAACACAGCACUGUGCAAACACGAAAGUGGACGUAUACGGUGUGACGCCUGCCCGGUGCCGGAAGGUUAAUUGAUGGGGUCAGCGCAAGCGAAGCUCUUGAUCGAAGCCCCGGUAAACGGCGGCCGUAACUAUAACGGUCCUAAGGUAGCGAAAUUCCUUGUCGGGUAAGUUCCGACCUGCACGAAUGGCGUAAUGAUGGCCAGGCUGUCUCCACCCGAGACUCAGUGAAAUUGAACUCGCUGUGAAGAUGCAGUGUACCCGCGGCAAGACGGAAAGACCCCGUGAACCUUUACUAUAGCUUGACACUGAACAUUGAGCCUUGAUGUGUAGGAUAGGUGGGAGGCUUUGAAGUGUGGACGCCAGUCUGCAUGGAGCCGACCUUGAAAUACCACCCUUUAAUGUUUGAUGUUCUAACGUGGACCCGUAAUCCGGGUUGCGGACAGUGUCUGGUGGGUAGUUUGACUGGGGCGGUCUCCUCCUAAAGAGUAACGGAGGAGCACGAAGGUUGGCUAAUCCUGGUCGGACAUCAGGAGGUUAGUGCAAUGGCAUAAGCCAGCUUGACUGCGAGCGUGACGGCGCGAGCAGGUGCGAAAGCAGGUCAUAGUGAUCCGGUGGUUCUGAAUGGAAGGGCCAUCGCUCAACGGAUAAAAGGUACUCCGGGGAUAACAGGCUGAUACCGCCCAAGAGUUCAUAUCGACGGCGGUGUUUGGCACCUCGAUGUCGGCUCAUCACAUCCUGGGGCUGAAGUAGGUCCCAAGGGUAUGGCUGUUCGCCAUUUAAAGUGGUACGCGAGCUGGGUUUAGAACGUCGUGAGACAGUUCGGUCCCUAUCUGCCGUGGGCGCUGGAGAACUGAGGGGGGCUGCUCCUAGUACGAGAGGACCGGAGUGGACGCAUCACUGGUGUUCGGGUUGUCAUGCCAAUGGCACUGCCCGGUAGCUAAAUGCGGAAGAGAUAAGUGCUGAAAGCAUCUAAGCACGAAACUUGCCCCGAGAUGAGUUCUCCCUGACUCCUUGAGAGUCCUGAAGGAACGUUGAAGACGACGACGUUGAUAGGCCGGGUGUGUAAGCGCAGCGAUGCGUUGAGCUAACCGGUACUAAUGAACCGUGAGGCUUAACCUU
Molecule: ribosomal RNA, 2904 nt
Rfam family: Bacterial large subunit ribosomal RNA